RNAcentral lists this ribosomal RNA (253 nucleotides) under uncultured bacterium. RNAcentral's name for it is "partial 16S ribosomal RNA". It matches the Rfam family "Bacterial small subunit ribosomal RNA", at positions 524 to 776 of the family's 1533-position model. The record is from RNAcentral.
CACGUAGGGCGCGAGCGUUGUCCGGAAUUAUUGGGCGUAAAGAGCUCGUAGGCGGUCUGUUGCGUCCGCUGUGAAAACUCGGGGCUUAACCCCGAGCCUGCAGUGGAUACGGGCAGACUAGAGGUAGGUAGGGGAGAAUGGAAUUCCCGGUGUAGCGGUGAAAUGCGCAGAUAUCGGGAGGAACACCGGUGGCGAAGGCAGCCCCCUGGGAUAACACUGACGCUCAUGCACGAAAGCGUGGGGAGCAAACAGG